UUUCAUGUUGAUUGCCAUUAUAAGCUAUUGGAAAUAAGGGUGCAUUGCAUAGGCAGCAGUAACAAAUCUGCGUAUACUAGUUUGAAGAAAGAUUUCGAGGGGAGAAAAAAUUACUGACAAUUUACGUAUGAGGGGGACAUUGAAGGAUUUCAAGGGUUUCAAAUUUUUAAUGUCCCACUCAUCUGUAAAUCGUCGAUAAUUCUUUCUUCUCUUGAAAUCCUUUUUCAAACUAGUAUACGCAGAUUUAUUACCGCUGCCUAUGCAAUGCACCCCUAUUCCCGGUGGUUUAUAAUGACAAUCAACAUGAAACCCUUCACAUUU
RNAcentral lists this microRNA precursor (321 nucleotides) under Malus domestica (apple). Its description in RNAcentral is "miR11012b stem-loop (mdm-MIR11012b)". Lineage: Eukaryota; Viridiplantae; Streptophyta; Magnoliopsida; Rosales; Rosaceae. The record is from miRBase by way of RNAcentral.